RNAcentral lists this long non-coding RNA (257 nucleotides) under Callithrix jacchus (white-tufted-ear marmoset). RNAcentral describes it as "lncRNA (ENSCJAG00000079547.1)". The record is from RNAcentral. Lineage: Eukaryota; Metazoa; Chordata; Mammalia; Primates; Cebidae.
AUCCUGUGCAAGACUGCCUUUUCCAGCUCAAACUUGCAAAGUGACAGCAACAUUGCACCGUAUAAAUGCAGCCAUUCUGUUACAAUGAUAAAUUCCAAGAUCUCCAGCCUGCAGAUUCAAGGAAAAGAUGGUUUGGAUGAGAUGUUCCUGGUGUAACCUCUGUGAAAUGAAGCUAUGAAGACUCUUGACCACCAGUGAGAGAUGUGUAACCAAUAAAAGUAUGAUGAGUUCUGCUGCCUCUGCAGAAUGCAACCAGG